AAUCCUGGCUCAAGAUGAACGCUAGCGGCAGGCUUAACACAUGCAAGUCGAGGGGCAGCGAGAUCAAAGCUUGCUUUGAUUGUCGGCGACCGGCGCACGGGUGCGUAACGCGUAUGCAACCUACCCACUACAGGGGGGAUAACACUGAGAAAUCGGUACUAAUACCCCAUAAUAUCUUGGAAGGCAUCUUUCGAGGUUGAAAACUCCGGUGGUAGUGGAUGGGCAUGCGUUGUAUUAGCUGGUUGG
This 246-nucleotide ribosomal RNA is filed under the name uncultured bacterium. RNAcentral describes it as "partial 16S ribosomal RNA". It matches the Rfam family "Bacterial small subunit ribosomal RNA", at positions 15 to 252 of the family's 1533-position model. The record is from RNAcentral.